RNAcentral lists this ribosomal RNA (402 nucleotides) under uncultured bacterium. RNAcentral's name for it is "bacterial SSU rRNA". It matches the Rfam family "Bacterial small subunit ribosomal RNA", at positions 355 to 774 of the family's 1533-position model. The record is from RNAcentral.
UGGGGAAUAUUGCACAAUGGGCGAAAGCCUGAUGCAGCAACGCCGCGUGAGUGAUGAAGGCCUUCGGGUUGUAAAGCUCUGUCUUCUGGGACGAUAAUGACGGUACCAGAGGAGGAAGCCACGGCUAACUACGUGCCAGCAGCCGCGGUAAUACGUAGGUGGCAAGCGUUGUCCGGAUUUACUGGGUGUAAAGGGCGUGUAGGCGGGGAUGCAAGUCAGAUGUGAAAUGCCGGAGCUUAACUCCGGAGCUGCAUCUGAAACUGUGUUUCUUGAGUGUCGGAGAGNAAAGCGGAAUUCCCAGUGUAGCGGUGAAAUGCGUAGAUAUUGGGAGGAACACCAGUGGCGAAGGCGGCUUUCUGGACGAUAACUGACGCUGAGGCGCGAAAGCGUGGGGAGCAAACA